AGAACGAACGCUGGCGGCAUGCCUAAUACAUGCAAGUCGAACGAACACUUCGGUGUUAGUGGCGCACGGGUGCGUAACGCGUGGGAAUCUGCCCUUGGGUUCGGAAUAACAGUUGGAAACGACUGCUAAUACCGGAUGAUGACGAAAGUCCAAAGAUUUAUCGCCCAGGGAUGAGCCCGCGUAGGAUUAGCUAGUUGGCGAGGUAAGGCUCACCAAGGCGACGAUCCUUAGCUGGUCUGAGAGGAUGAUCAGCCACACUGGGACUGAGACACGGCCAGACUCCGUAGGGAGCAGCAGUAGGGAAUAUGGACAAGUGGGCGCAAGCCUAGAUCCAGACAAUCGGCCGCGUGGAGUGGGUAGGAAGGUCCGUUAGGGUUAGUAAAGUCCUUACGUUUACCCGAGUAUAGAAUAA
This 412-nucleotide ribosomal RNA is filed under the name uncultured soil bacterium. Its description in RNAcentral is "bacterial SSU rRNA". It matches the Rfam family "Bacterial small subunit ribosomal RNA", at positions 26 to 459 of the family's 1533-position model. The record is from RNAcentral.